Molecule: long non-coding RNA, 1140 nt
Filed under: Rhinolophus ferrumequinum (greater horseshoe bat)
Lineage: Eukaryota; Metazoa; Chordata; Mammalia; Chiroptera; Rhinolophidae
Description: lncRNA (ENSRFEG00010019138.1)
Source: RNAcentral
AUGAUACCUGGGCUAAGGCGGCGAGGGGCGGCCAGGGCACACAUCCGACCCUGGCCCCUGCCCUGGCUCAGCCCCAGCCAAAAUGUUGUUGGUGUCCCUGAAGAGGUGACUUUUGAGGUGAGCCCUUGGGGAAUAAUAAGAGCAACAAGCACUGUUCCAAGUGCUUUCCACAGGACCCUCAUCGACCCCCUCUUGGGUUCAUCUUGUCCAGUCAGGGCCCUAAAUACUAUCCUGAGGCCAGUGACCCCCCUAAUACCUACCUCCAGCACAGACCACAGCCCCAAACUGCACACACACACCUGCAUCGCGUGCUGGCCUAGGUCUCCACCCACGCCAGCACUGAGCUCCAGGGGGUCUCCUGCCCUACCCCCAGGCCCCUCCCCAGAUGACAGCAGCUCCAGACUGCAGGCAAGUUCCAGCCCAAUCCCCGCUCAUCAGGACUGCCUGUCAGCUCUUCCUUCCUCGGAAGUGCAGAAUCCCACCCCUCGAACUCUCCACUGCCUCCUCCCCUCCAAGUCCCUGGCACCCUCGCCGUGCCUGCCCUCAGCCAGAGGCUCCUUCUGGAACACAGUGCAAGCUCAGAGCCCGCGAGGCCUCCACUGCCCGCAGGGCAAAGCCUACCUGCUCAGUCAGUGUGUCAAGGACUUACGUGUUACAGUAUUGGCUACUAUCUGCCCUCUCCCACACACGCACACACACGCAUCCACACGUGUGCACACACAUAGGCACUCAGGCGUGCUGCACAAAGGCAGUCGAUUCUGUGGGCUGAAUACCCCAAGCCCGUGGCACAGAGCCCAGCACACAGUAGGUGCUCAACAAAUGUUUGUCGGUUUCAGCAAGGCUUCCUGUUUCACGACCCAUCCCCAGUUCCGAUGCCCUCUGGCUCCUUGGACCCCGCCAGCUCUGGGACACUCACAGGGCUCUCACCCUCCAGCACCUGUGAGCCAGAUGAGCCUCCUCAGCGUACAUCCCACCCCGUUCCUCCCACUCCCAGCCCUUCUGGGGUUCCCCAGGGCCUUACUGGGACCUGUGAGAUACUCCGAGAUCUGGGCCUCACAGCCCCUCUCCAGACUCAGCUUUUGCACCCUCGCCCCACUGCACACCUCAGCCCCCGCCCCAUCAAGGGUUCUCGGUUUUUAA